This 72-nucleotide transfer RNA is filed under the name Camelus bactrianus (Bactrian camel). It matches the Rfam family "tRNA". From Rfam's summary of the family: Transfer RNA (tRNA) molecules are approximately 80 nucleotides in length. Their secondary structure includes four short double-helical elements and three loops (D, anti-codon, and T loops). Further hydrogen bonds mediate the characteristic L-shaped molecular structure. tRNAs have two regions of fundamental functional importance: the anti-codon, which is responsible for specific mRNA codon recognition, and the 3' end, to which the tRNAs corresponding amino acid is attached (by aminoacyl-tRNA synthetases). tRNAs cope with the degeneracy of the genetic code in two manners: having more than one tRNA (with a specific anti-codon) for a particular amino acid; and 'wobble' base-pairing, i.e. permitting non-standard base-pairing at the 3rd anti-codon position. The record is from Rfam by way of RNAcentral. Lineage: Eukaryota; Metazoa; Chordata; Mammalia; Artiodactyla; Camelidae. RNAcentral also lists the same sequence under 3 other names.
GAGGGUAUAGCUCAGUGGUAGAGUAUGUGCUUAGCAUGCAUGAGGUCCUGGGUUCAAUCCUCAGUACCUCCA